Molecule: long non-coding RNA, 2728 nt
Organism: Psammomys obesus (fat sand rat)
Lineage: Eukaryota; Metazoa; Chordata; Mammalia; Rodentia; Muridae
Exons: 2
Source: RefSeq, a predicted model, not a curated record
CCGAUUACCCUGAGGAAGGAUUUGCAAACGAGAAGGACCAGCCCAGCGCUGUCCAACAGAAAUGUAACCCGUCCCAGAAAGGUUCUGUCCUGCGGCUCUUGGGAUCAUCAGGAAGAAGCUCCGAAGGUGUUGCUGACGGCUAGUUUCUUAGUUUCCCUUGCCUGAGCCGUGGAGUGCCCAGCUUGUUCCAUCAACCGUUAUUGUGGGAGUUUGAAAUUUUAACACUUAAAGCCACAUACUAAACAAGGUAGCCCCGGCUCCCUUCAGUGAGAUGGCCUCACUCAAUCAGUGAUGGUUCGCCCAGACCACUUUCUCCCAGGCCAGGGAGAACUUAUUCUCGGAGCUGAGAUUUUAGAGUUUUUUUUUUUGUUUUGUUUUGUUUUGUUUUGUUUUGUUUUGUUUUGUUUUGUUUUUUUCCUCUUGCAAUCAGACUCAAUAGGACCUUGAAGCCUCGCUGGGCCUGAGCCAGAUGGCCUCUGUACAGGAACUGUGCGGAAAGCAAUCCCGCGUCUCAAGCCUUCAGAUGUGAGCUGAUAUUGGAGUGGUUAGCAGUCUGGUUGGGAAGGGGAGGGGAGGGGCGGAGGGGUGGCGGUGUCUCGAGCCAACUACAUAUCUCAGGACUCAUCAAACUCCUCAGCUACUCCAUGGGCCACUUGGUAAUGAUAGUCAGCUUUCUCUCAACUCUCCAGUCUGAACUGAGUGACUGAGUCUCUAGGGUGGACGGGCAUCGCCAUGUCAAAACCUCCCUGUUGCAUCGGGCCCAGACUGGAACCAGUGUCAGCAUUAUAAACUGUUACCCUCUCCAUCUACAGAUGAGCAAACUGAGCCCAAGAGGUGGGAAGCAAGCCAGCGCCGCAGCCCAGCCAAGGGCUCGGGUCUUCAGACCGCUUCAGCCUGUCCCUUACUCAUUCAGACAAGAGGCAGUGAGGGUUCCCCGGGGUUACCAGUGGCUGUGGAACAGUGAGUGAAAACGGCCAAGCUCAGAUUGAGUGAACGGAAAACAAGCAUCAGGUCCUGGCAGAGAAAAAAGCAGCCCCGACACAUCACGUGAAAAACUCUACGGAUGCCCAAGGCGACUGUUCACUAGGUGGCUGUGGUUCAGGCACACAGGAGGCUUCUCGCUGCUGUGAAAGAGGAAGCAGCUUUCAUUUGGCUCCGCCCACCAAGGCCCAGUUCUAUCGGCGAUUGGGGUCUCCUUGGCUCUGGGCCCGUUAGCCUCUGUGAGCAGGGUCUGUCCCUGGCCCGCAGAGCGACUUGGAAUAAGGUGUACCUUCUGGGUGAGUUCCUGAGCCCCGGGGGUUCUUGGAGUAUGUCACUGUUCCAUGAAAAUGCUAAGCCACAGUGAGGCGGGAGCAAUUUCAGUAGGCGAGCGCUAUUAUUAUCAUGUUAAUUACUAUGCCAGGCAGUCCUCUAAAUCCUUUGUAAACAUCAACUCAUUUAAUUCUCAAGGUAGGUCUAGGAGAUAAGCUCCGUUAAAUGCCCCUCCUUCCUUUUCCUUUUCAUCCUGUAUUUUGGCAUCGUUUCUCCCCUUCUCUUCAGUCAGCAAAGAUGGACUGAGCCGGGUGUGAAGGUACACCUGUGACGUCAGCAUUCAGGAGACAGAGGAGGCAGGAGGAUCAUGAGUUCGAGGCUAGCCUGGGUUACAGAAUAAGACCUUAAAGACUGGGUGUGUAAUAUAGCUCAGUAAUAGAGUGCUGGAGUAGGGGUCAGGGUCCUAUCUACAAAGUCAGAUGAGGACACAUUAGGAAGUGGAGUAGCUGUCUGAUGGCCCUGGGAGCUGGCGCACAUGUUAUUUCCGGCAGUAGCCCGUGACGUAGAAAGGUAACCUUUGGUUUUGAGAGCUGGGUUAACCAGCUGACCAGGCUAGUUCAGUUUGGGGACUCAGGAAAACUCUCUGGGUAAAUGUCAUGACUGGGCAAAGCUGGCAUAUUCUGGAAGAGGGGAGGGGCAAGGACCUGCUACAAAAGGCACUCUUAGGACGUGAGGGAGUUUGAGUCAGGGUCAUCCAGCAGUGAAGUGGUUGUGGGGUUCCUUUGUACUUGAGGAGGCUUUAUGUUUUGGCUAGUACUCUGGGAAAUAGCCUUUGGCCCAUGCCAUUGAGCUGUCUGUCUCUUUCCUUUCUCUUGUGUUCCGCUGGGCUUGGCACCUAUGCUUUCUGUACGUGAGUGCACUCAAGCCUGACAAGGGGCAAGAUACACUCCUGUGUCCCCUUACCCUACACAUGGAAGGUAUUCAGAAUAUUAGGUAUCCUGAAUGCUGGAGAAAGGACAUCUCACAUUGUCUAGAAGCCCCUCCCCUGGGUGUGAGCUUCCAAACUUCCGCAGCAGCCCUGAUCUCAUCUCCCAGCUCCCAGUAACUCAGGCCCGUCCUGCUGUGAAAGCCACAAUCAGCCCAGUGUUUCCUGAGAGAAGCUGGCAAAGAGUCCUGGGCAAGGCAGCGCAGCUCCACAGAGGCUCCAGCCCUCAGCCCUUCCGGAAGCAUGAGUGCUCGGACCCGGUCCUGGCUGGGGUCAGGAGGCCGUUGCACGCAGGAACUAAAAUGCUCAAAGCUCAAGCUUUGUAGUCAUAAAUGGCUACGGUUUUAAAACGCUGAAUUUUGUAGCAAAAGCUUAUGCAGUAAUAACAGCAGGUUAGGGAGUAUACAGCAACAGCAUGAUUAGCCUCUUCUGGACAGGAUACCCGGGGUGACAGCAAUUAUUUUGCAAAAAUAAAGACCAAUAGAAUCAUGA